UCGAGAAUCUUCCGCAAUGCGCGCAAGCGUGACGGAGCGACGCCGCGUGGGGGAUGAAGGCCUUCGGGUUGUAAACUCCUGUCACCUGGGAAGAAUGGCUGGUUGUUAAUAGCAGUCCAGUUUGACGUUACCAGGAGAGGAAGCACCGGCUAAAUACGUGCCAGCAGCCGCGGUAAUACGUAUGGUGCUAACGUUGUUCGGAAUCACUGGGCUUAAAGAGCACGUAGGCGGUUGAGAAAGUCUGAUGUGAAAUCCCUCGGCCCAACCGGGGAACUGCAUCAGAAACUUCUUAGCUAGAGUAUAGGAGGGGAGAGUGGAAUUCCUGGUGGAGCGGUGAAAUGCGUAGAUAUCAGGAGGAACGCCGGUGGCGAAAGCGACUCUCUGGCCUAUUACUGACGCUGAGGUGCGAAAGCUAGGGGAGCGAACGGGAUUAGAUACCCCCGUAGUCC
Molecule: ribosomal RNA, 449 nt
Filed under: uncultured prokaryote
Description: bacterial SSU rRNA
Rfam family: Bacterial small subunit ribosomal RNA
Source: RNAcentral